Molecule: ribosomal RNA, 194 nt
Filed under: uncultured bacterium
Lineage: Bacteria
Description: partial 16S ribosomal RNA
Rfam family: Bacterial small subunit ribosomal RNA
Source: RNAcentral
CCUACGGGAGGCAGCAGUGGGGAAUUUUGGACAAUGGGCGAAAGCCUGAUCCAGCAAUGCCGCGUGUGGGGAGAAGGCCUUCGGGUUGUAAACCACUUUUGUACGGAACGAAACGGUCUGCCUUAAUACGGUGGGCUAAUGACGGUACCGUAAGAAUAAGCACCGGCUAACUACGUGCCAGCAGCCGCGGUAAU